UAGGGAAUCUUCGGCAAUGGACGAAAGUCUGACCGAGCAACGCCGCGUGAGUGAAGAAGGUUUUCGGAACGUAAAACUCUGUUGUUAGAGAAGAACAAGGACGUUAGUAACUGAACGUCCCCUGACGGUAUCUAACCAGAAAGCCACGGCUAAGUACGUGCCAGCAGCCGCGGUAAUACGGAGGUGGCAAGCGUUGUCCGGAUUUAUUGGGCGUAAAGCGAGCGCAGGCGGUUUCUUAAGUCUGAUGUGAAAGCCCCCGGCUCAACCGGGGAGGGUCAUUGGAAACUGGGAGACUUGAGUGCAGAAGAGGAGAGUGGAAUUCCAUGUGUAGCGGUGAAAUGCGUAGAUAUAUGGAGGAACACCAGUGGCGAAGGCGGCUCUCUGGUCUGUAACUGACGCUGAGGCUCGAAAGCGUGGGGAGCAAACAGG
Molecule: ribosomal RNA, 429 nt
Filed under: Gemmatimonadota bacterium
Lineage: Bacteria; Pseudomonadati; Gemmatimonadota
Description: Gemmatimonadetes bacterium partial 16S ribosomal RNA
Rfam family: Bacterial small subunit ribosomal RNA
Source: RNAcentral